GACAAAUAGUAGUUCUGUAUUAUCAAGGGUUGCAGCCUCAAGUAAAACACGCAUUAGAUGGACUCAGGAUCUUCACAAUCAAUUUGUUGAAUGUGUAAAUCGUCUUGGUGGUGCAGACAAUGCAACUCCAAAGGAAAUCCUAAAUUAAGAUCAUGGAUGCUAGUGGAUUAACCAUUUUGCAAGUUAAAAGUCACUUGCAGGUUUUAUUGUUCAUUUCCCAGCUAUGGAUAUUUCUUGUAUAUUAGUUAUCGUUUCCAAUAUUUUUGAAUCAAAGUUCUUUCUUCCUUUUUCCAGAAAUAUCAUACUACCAGAUAUAUUUCAGAAUCUACAGAAGGGAAAUCAGACAGAACUCACAUGAAUCAAUUAACGCCAUUGGAUCUCAAGACUGGCAAGGAGAUAGCAGAAGCACUGAGACUGCAACUACAUGUACAGAGAUGCUUACAUGAACAACUGGAGGUUCAAAGAGAAAUGCAAUCAAGGAUUGAAGAACAAGGGAGGAAGCUAAAAAUAAUGUUAGACCAACAACAAAUAACAACCAAGACUCUUAUAUAAUUCUAAUAUUGAAUGUCAAAUGUGUGUUUUCAAUGGCCAUUCAGUACUCUCUCAAAGUGUUGAUUUUGGUUAAGGAUAUUGUAAGGAGAGGAGGCUGGUAACCAACAGGCAAUAUAGGGAAUAGCCAGCAAAAAGAUCAUGUAUCUAAUUCCAUAACUUGGAGUUGACACACCAUAUAAUCAAAUAUUCAGUCAUUUGUUUCAAACUUAUUCCUGUGUCUAAUACAGAAAGAUCUUGUACUUUCUAUCCCUAAUAUAUUAUAUGUCAAAUUUCUUUUUC
This is a long non-coding RNA of Quercus robur (English oak), 831 nucleotides long. RefSeq lists it as uncharacterized. Lineage: Eukaryota; Viridiplantae; Streptophyta; Magnoliopsida; Fagales; Fagaceae. The record is from RefSeq and is a predicted model, not a curated record. The transcript is spliced from 5 exons.